UACGUAAGGACCGAGCGUUGUCCGGAUUCAUUGGGCGUAAAGGGUACGUAGGCGGUUAGAAAAGUUAGAAGUGAAAGGCUAUAGCUCAACUAUAGAAAGCUGUUAAAACUGUUUAACUUGAGAGAUGGAAGGGAGAGUGGAAUUCGUAGUGUAGCGGUGAAAUGCUCAGAUAUUAGGAGGAAUUCCGGUUGCGAAGGCGACUCACUGGGCAUUAUCUGACGCUGAGGUACGAAAGCGUGGGUAGCAAACAGG
RNAcentral lists this ribosomal RNA (252 nucleotides) under uncultured bacterium. RNAcentral's name for it is "partial 16S ribosomal RNA". It matches the Rfam family "Bacterial small subunit ribosomal RNA", at positions 524 to 776 of the family's 1533-position model. The record is from RNAcentral.